AAUGUAAAAUUUGUGUUCAACGAACUCGAUUUUGAGAAAGGAAGUACGAUCGGCUUCCUUACAAAGGAGACUCGACAGAAAAAUUAAAGUUUCUCCUUCGCCCAAUCAAACAAUAGCUGUAGACUUGCGAUUCUGCCUUGUGCGUUCUCCAUUUAGUCGCUUCGAAAAGCAGGGUGGAUGAAUUUAUUGAAAAGUUUUAAUGGUUCCAAACACGAAACCUGAAUUGAAAUAUUUUAGUGAUCUUAUUCUUUUCGGAGUGUCUUAAAUUAGUUUAGUCAAAUGCCACGUAAUAAUUGGUUUUAUAAUUCUUGUAACUCUUAGUCGCAAACAUAGUUUUAUAAUGGACCAUUUGAAUUUUAGAAGUCGCUAUUGUUGCGCUUGAUUUGCGAAAGUAAACCGUGUAAAAUGAUAACGAUCAGUUGAUCAACCUGUAUUAUUAUGGCAAUUUGUAAAAAUUGCGCAUCAAAAAUGGAUGAGAUAUUAUGUAUUGUGACAAUUUUACAGUGUAACUGCGAACUGAAUGAAAGAAACAUAUGCUACUUAUCGUUCGUAGGUAACCUUAGAGAUAAAGUACACAAAUUUUUAAUUCAAAUUCAAAUUUUCGAAUUCAAAUUCAAAUUUAUAUUCCACUAUUGAAAAACCUUGUUUUAAAUUUUCACAAUUUUGUAUUGUUAUAUUAUUUGAAAUUGUAUCAUAUUAUACAUACAUAUUAUAUAGAUAAUAUAGCCACAGUUAUAUAAUAUUAUUAUAAUAUUUGCCGCAAUACUUGACUUUUCCAAAUAAUCGUUUAUUCGUGUACGUGGAUAUGUCUUAUGUCGAGCAAGAAACAAAACAGUACAAAUUUUUUGCGGCUAUUUGAUCCAAGGUUGCCAUAUUUUGUUAAUCGAGGAAGUUUUCACGGCGUACAAUAUUUCGAAUUUGCGCGCGGCUUCAAUCAAACGAGAAACCAUUCUGUUCCAACCAAUAGGGAAGCAGCUAGGCGACGCUACGGCGCGAGACACCACUCUGCUGUCGAAAAUCGAGACGUCAAGAGAUCAUUGACUGAUUGCAAUAAUGGCUUCGAGAGAAUGGGGGUUUGCAGUAUACACGUUACGAACGAUGAAUUGUUAAUUUGAUCAUUUUGAAUACAGAUUUGACAACGCUCGAUUUAUUACAACAAAGGCAGACAUGAGCGCGGCCCAUGAAUAUUUUCCGUGGAACUACGUUAUUGAACGCGUACAGCUUUCGCUGUCCGCGCAUAAACUCCUCCAAUGAUUUGCCGCUGGUGGAAAAAAAAAAAAAAAGAAAAAAGAAGAGAGGAAGAGCAGUGGCAAAGGUGGAAUCACGUGUACGCCGACACCGACAGUGGAGGCGCGAACGCGAACAGAGUCGGCAUUUCGCACGCGCGAAUCGUCACGGUUUUCGCUCGAGGGGUUGCCGAGUGUCUGUUACAUUGUGCGAAGCCAGUGUCUCGGGCGCCAUCACGUGGCAAACGAAGGAAGAAAGGAAGGAAGGAAGGAAGUCUAUCGGCAUUCCAUUUGGCAGAAUCAAGCUCAAAGUAGUAGAAUCGCGCAUACGCUCGUACGGUUCGUUUAAAUGAAGAAAAAGGAAAGAAAUUCGAGGAAAAAGAGGAAAGGAAAUGUGGCGAUUCGAGCGGAUAGAAAGAAAGGGAAGAACGGCGCGGAGAGAAUAGCACGGAGCGUUUCCAAAAUGUCAAAGGAAAGCGAAGACACGGCAGAAAGAGCUUUUCAUUCUGUUUGCUUGCUCGUGAGCAGUGUCACUCGCAUGCUCGUGCAACAUGCAGUGCUGCUAGUCGCUUACCCGUCCGUCUGACCGAACCUCUCGUUCCUGCCUUUCAUUUCCACCGACGCGGCGUCUUCUCGGCUUUGGAACGACCGCGUUUCACCCAGCAAUCAUGCAUAAAAUAAGCGUUUGCGUUUCUACCUCGAGCUUGACAUCCAAGAACCGUUUCAUGGCCGUGUAUAGUCGGUCGUUAGUACGAUCAUUUUCAUUCGCGCGAAAUGUAUUCUCAUGCUUUGGUUGUUAAUACUUUAAACGGGUUAUACCCUCAGGUGGUGUAAGAUUCGUACGGUUAUCCUCAAUUUCUAAGUGCAGUUUCAAUUUAAUAUGUUGUCUUGUAGAGGUACAUUUGUACACCGAAUUAUGCGUUUCAUUUCUUAUGCACGAGUUUCUUUAAAACGCCGAGAAGAUGUUUACGUCGUAGAUGUAU
Bombus pyrosoma is the source of this 2209-nucleotide long non-coding RNA. RefSeq lists it as uncharacterized. The record is from RefSeq and is a predicted model, not a curated record. Lineage: Eukaryota; Metazoa; Arthropoda; Insecta; Hymenoptera; Apidae. The transcript is spliced from 4 exons.